CUUUAUCAUUUUUAAGAGAGUUUAAACCUGACUGAGGUUCUCUGGUCUCUGUCCAAUCAUCACUGUCAUCAGUCUCAGGCUGUAAAUGUGUAUCUGGAUCUGAGUUCCUGGCUGGUUCUGGUCCUCCACAGUCCUCUCCAUCAGCUCCAGUUUCCAUCUGUUCAGUGUGUCUUUGAUGAAGCUGUGAGGACUGAGGUUUCUCUUCAUCAUCUUCACUCUUCACAGGGACAGGAGUGAA
Long non-coding RNA from Epinephelus moara (kelp grouper), 238 nucleotides. RefSeq lists it as uncharacterized. The record is from RefSeq and is a predicted model, not a curated record. NCBI's taxonomy places the organism in Eukaryota, Metazoa, Chordata, Actinopteri, Perciformes, Serranidae. The transcript is spliced from 3 exons.